This 430-nucleotide ribosomal RNA is filed under the name uncultured bacterium. Its description in RNAcentral is "partial 16S ribosomal RNA". It matches the Rfam family "Bacterial small subunit ribosomal RNA", at positions 354 to 796 of the family's 1533-position model. The record is from RNAcentral.
GUGGGGAAUAUUGCACAAUGGGCGGAAGCCUGAUGCAGCAACGCCGCGUGCGGGAUGACGGCCUUCGGGUUGUAAACCGCUUUCACUCAUGACGAAGCGCGAGUGACGGUAAUGGGAGAAGAAGCACCGGCCAACUACGUGCCAGCAGCCGCGGUGAUACGUAGGGUGCGAGCGUUGUCCGGAAUUAUUGGGCGUAAAGAGCUUGUAGGCGGUUGAUCGCGUCGGAAGUGAAAUUCCAGGGCUUAACUCUGGGCUUGCUUCCGAUACGGGUCGACUUGAGGAAGGUAGGGGAGAAUGGAAUUCUCGGUGGAGCGGUGGAAUGCGCAGAUAUCGGGAAGAACACCAGUGGCGAAGGCGGUUCUCUGGACCUUUCCUGACGCUGAGAAGCGAAAGCGUGGGGAGCAAACAGGCUUAGAUACCCUAGUAGUCC